Molecule: ribosomal RNA, 158 nt
Filed under: Mycosphaerella asteroma
Lineage: Eukaryota; Fungi; Ascomycota; Dothideomycetes; Mycosphaerellales; Mycosphaerellaceae
Description: 5.8S ribosomal RNA
Rfam family: 5.8S ribosomal RNA
About the family: 5.8S ribosomal RNA (5.8S rRNA) is a component of the large subunit of the eukaryotic ribosome.
Source: RNAcentral
AACUUUUUAACAACGGAUCUCUUGGUUCUGGCAUCGAUGAAGAACGCAGCGAAAUGCGAUAAGUAAUGUGAAUUGCAGAAUUCAGUGAAUCAUCGAAUCUUUGAACGCACAUUGCGCCCCCUGGUAUUCCGGGGGGCAUGCCUGUUCGAGCGUCAUUU